GAUGAACGCUGGCGGCGUGCCUAAUACAUGCAAGUCGAGCGAACGGACGAGAAGCUUGCUUCUCUGAUGUUAGCGGCGGACGGGUGAGUAACACGUGGAUAACCUACCUAUAAGACUGGGAUAACUUCGGGAAACCGGAGCUAAUACCGGAUAAUAUUUUGAACCGCAUGGUUCAAAAGUGAAAGGCGGUCUUGCUGUCACUUAUAGAUGGAUCCCCGCUGCAUUAGCUAGUUGGUAAGGUAACGGCUUACCAAGGCAACGAUGCAUAGCCGACCUGAGAGGGUGAUCGGCCACACUGGAACUGAGACACGGUCCAGACUCCUACGGGAGGCAGCAGUAGGGAAUCUUCCGCAAUGGGCGAAAGCCUGACGGAGCAACGACGCGUGAGUGAUGAAGGUCUUCGGAUCGUAAAACUCUGUUAUUAGGGAAGAACAUAUGUGUAAGUAACUGUGCACAUCUUGACGGUACCUAAUCAGAAAGCCACGGCUAACUACGUG
Molecule: ribosomal RNA, 497 nt
Filed under: uncultured bacterium
Lineage: Bacteria
Description: partial 16S ribosomal RNA
Rfam family: Bacterial small subunit ribosomal RNA
Source: RNAcentral